GUGGGUAGUUUGACUGGGGCGGUCUCCUCCUAAAGAGUAACGGAGGAGCACGAAGGUUGGCUAAUCCUGGUCGGACAUCAGGAGGUUAGUGCAAUGGCAUAAGCCAGCUUGACUGCGAGCGUGACGGCGCGAGCAGGUGCGAAAGCAGGUCAUAGUGAUCCGGUGGUUCUGAAUGGAAGGGCCAUCGCUCAACGGAUAAAAGGUACUCCGGGGAUAACAGGCUGAUACCGCCCAAGAGUUCAUAUCGACGGCGGUGUUUGGCACCUCGAUGUCGGCUCAUCACAUCCUGGGGCUGAAGUAGGUCCCAAGGGUAUGGCUGUUCGCCAUUUAAAGUGGUACGCGAGCUGGGUUUAGAACGUCGUGAGACAGUUCGGUCCCUAUCUGCCGUGGGCGCUGGAGAACUGAGGGGGGCUGCUCCUAGUACGAGAGGACCGGAGUGGACGCAUCACUGGUGUUCGGGUUGUCAUGCCAAUGGCACUGCCCGGUAGCUAAAUGCGGAAGAGAUAAGUGCUGAAAGCAUCUAAGCACGAAACUUGCCCCGAGAUGAGUUCUCCCUGAGACUUAGAGUCUCCUGAAGGAACGUUGAAGACGACGACGUUGAUAGGCCGGGUGUGUAAGCGCAGCGAUGCGUUGAGCUAACCGGUACUAAUGAACCGUGAGGCUUAACCUUACAACGC
This 677-nucleotide ribosomal RNA is filed under the name Salmonella enterica subsp. enterica. RNAcentral's name for it is "partial 23S ribosomal RNA". It matches the Rfam family "Bacterial large subunit ribosomal RNA", at positions 2261 to 2925 of the family's 2925-position model. Lineage: Bacteria; Pseudomonadati; Pseudomonadota; Gammaproteobacteria; Enterobacterales; Enterobacteriaceae. RNAcentral also lists the same sequence under 3 other names. The record is from RNAcentral.